GAUGAACGCUGGCGGCGUGCCUAAUACAUGCAAGUCGAGCGAACAGACGAGGAGCUUGCUCCUCUGACGUUAGCGGCGGACGGGUGAGUAACACGUGGAUAACCUACCUAUAAGACUGGGAUAACUUCGGGAAACCGGAGCUAAUACCGGAUAAUAUAUUGAACCGCAUGGUUCAAUAGUGAAAGACGGUUUUGCUGUCACUUAUAGAUGGAUCCGCGCCGCAUUAGCUAGUUGGUAAGGUAACGGCUUACCAAGGCAACGAUGCGUAGCCGACCUGAGAGGGUGAUCGGCCAAACUGGAACUGAGACACGGUCCAGACUCCUACGGGAGGCAGCAGUAGGGAAUCUUACGCAAUGGGCGAAAGCAUGACGGAGCAAAGCCGCGUGAGUGAUGAAGGUCUUCGGAUCGUAAAACUCUGUUAUUAGGGAAGAAAAAAUGUGUAAGUAACUAUGCACGUCUUGACGGUACCUAAUCAGAAAGCCACGGCUAACUACGUG
Molecule: ribosomal RNA, 497 nt
Filed under: uncultured bacterium
Lineage: Bacteria
Description: partial 16S ribosomal RNA
Rfam family: Bacterial small subunit ribosomal RNA
Source: RNAcentral